Molecule: long non-coding RNA, 186 nt
Organism: Gracilinanus agilis (Agile Gracile Mouse Opossum)
Lineage: Eukaryota; Metazoa; Chordata; Mammalia; Didelphimorphia; Didelphidae
Exons: 3
Source: RefSeq, a predicted model, not a curated record
AAAAGAUUAAACGACAACAGCAACAAAAAUGAGAUUUUUAGAAAAAUUUAGUCAAUGUAAGUAUUUCUUCUUCCAAGAUUAUCCAAGUCCUUGAGGGCAUUUCAACCAUCAAGAGCAAGUGCAGGCAGGAUAAUCGCCUAAUAUUUCUCCAUUUAAUGGAAGAAAACACAGAGCUACGAAUAAAGG